RNAcentral lists this ribosomal RNA (432 nucleotides) under uncultured bacterium. RNAcentral's name for it is "partial 16S ribosomal RNA". It matches the Rfam family "Bacterial small subunit ribosomal RNA", at positions 29 to 507 of the family's 1533-position model. The record is from RNAcentral.
ACGCACGCUGGCGGCAUGCCUAACACAUGCCAGUCGAACGCACCCUUCGGGGUUAGUGGCGCACGGGUGCGUAACGCGUGGGAAUCUGCCCUUUGCUUCGGAAUAAAUCAGGGAAACUUGUGCUAAUACCGGAUGAUGUCUUCGGACCAAAGAUUUAUCGGCAAGGGAUGAGCCCGCGUAGGAUUAGGUAGUUGGUGGGGUAAAGGCCUACCAAGCCGACGAUCCUUAGCUGGUCUGAGAGGAUGAUCAGCCACACUGGGACUGAGACACGGCCCAGACUCCUACGGGAGGCAGCAGUGGGGAAUAUUGGACAAUGGGCGCAAGCCUGAUCCAGCAAUGCCGCGUGAGUGAUGAAGGCCCUCGGGUCGUAAAGCUCUUUUACCAGGGAUGAUAAUGACAGUACCUGGAGAAUAAGCUCCGGCUAACUCCGUG